AAAAAAAUUGCAACGUUCAAUGGAUGAUCAAGCUUAGAAAUGGGGAAAUAAAUAAACCAAUUUUGGGAAAGGAACCGAACCGUUCGUAGGCAAACUCGAGAGGGUGAAUCUGAUGAGAGAGAGUUUAUUUUCCUGGCUACUGAUGGUUGAUUGGAUGUCUGUGUCUACUGAAAGUGAGCAAAUCAUUUUCAGCAUUCCUUUUCUUGCAACCUCUUACAGCUCGUUCUCAAAUCAUCCCUGGCAUAAGAACUGAGCUCGGAGUGAAGUGUUUCAUCUUGUGUGAUAUGUAAAAAAUGGAUCUACAUCUACACUGAUGGAAGAGCAGCAGCUGGAUUGGAAGGUUUGUGAUCUAACAGCACCUUUUCCUGUCUCUCGUUCUCUCUGGAAACAUAUAGGGAGACUGAAGAAUCAGAAAUAAAAAUCGUUGGAAACGCAACUGACGCAAUCAAGUUGCACGUUUUGUUUUCUUCCUAGUUUAGGAGGUUUUCUGAAUUCGUUUGGCUCUGUUGUUGUAUUUACUUUCUAUUUAUGUUUUGUCCCUUUUUGUUAAAACAUGAGAAGUCUUUCCUUAAGUCUUGAGAACUCU
This is a long non-coding RNA of Camelina sativa (false flax), 586 nucleotides long. RefSeq lists it as uncharacterized. Lineage: Eukaryota; Viridiplantae; Streptophyta; Magnoliopsida; Brassicales; Brassicaceae. The record is from RefSeq and is a predicted model, not a curated record.